This 6208-nucleotide long non-coding RNA is filed under the name Sus scrofa (pig). Its description in RNAcentral is "lncRNA (ENSSSCG00000047521.2)". Lineage: Eukaryota; Metazoa; Chordata; Mammalia; Artiodactyla; Suidae. The record is from RNAcentral.
GCUGCAACUUCGGAUCUCGCUCUGCAUUUGCGUCUAAGGAGGUGCGGGCUUUCGAACGCCGCAGUAGUUACGCGUCCCGCGGACCCUGUCUGAUUCUGAAAGAACAGACACACCGUGUGCGGGCCUCGUCAACUCCUGCCCGCCUCUCUGGCAUUUACAUGGGGCCUAUGCUUUUUCUGAGAUUUUCUCCUGGAAUCGCGGGGUCAGAGCUGGACCAGUGCUUGAGGUCACUUUCUUUUAAAAUAGAAAUGUAAGGUCCAAGGAAGAAAAACGCACUUACUGGAGGAGGCUGAUGAGAGAGGUGGUGUAUCACUGCCCGCAGAGGGGAAGUCGGUAGGUGUGUGCUGGGCACAUUGCUGGGAUCGGAAGGUCCUUAGUCAAGGACCGGGAAGGCAGGGGAGAGGCCACGAUCCGGAUGGUUCUGCUGGCUCCUCCCACAGGGUGUCAGUGUUGCAGUGAACUGUGGUGUGGAAUUCAGGCGAGGGCUGGUGGCUACUUCAGCCACUUACAGCGGCUGGCCCUUUGCAAGCACGGUGCUUCGCCGCGGUUACUUCUGCCACUGGCACACCGGCCGCAGUCAGGAAGCACCACAUCAGGCAGGACGGACACGUACUGGGAAUGGGCACCAGGGUCAGGCCUGAACUAUGACCAGUAUUCUCCGUGAACGUUUAGGAGGGGCUAUGGCCGUCGCACCUCCGCAGCAGCUAGAUAUGAGUCUGCUAAUAAAUAAUGGCCAGUGGGAAUUGAAUGAAAGGAAUGUGUGUCGCUUAGGCGGUACCAUGCAAAGUACCCACGUUCCUUCUCUGGUGACUAUGGGAACAGCCACCUUGAACUCAGAAAUGAAGUAUUGUGAUCAUUUGGAUGGUCCUUCCCUAGCUGACAGCCACUUUCAGACUCCAAGGGCAGACAGUCCUUAGUACGUGGAAGUCAUUGAGUUGCUGAAAGAUUUCAGGCUUUACCUGGAGCCCACUACUCAAUCUUCAGUUGUGUAAACCAGUAAAUUCCCUUUAGUGUUGAAAUCAGUGAGAGUCUGACUUCCUGGUACUUGAAACAGCAUGCUGAUCCAUUUAUCUUGCCAGUCUGCUAAAGUCCUUCCUCUGCUCAUCCUGCUGCUGUUUUUUGUCUUUUUAGGGCCACACCCUCCACAAAAGAAGUUCCCAGUCUAGGGGUCAAAUCAGAGCUGUAGCCGCCAGCCUAUGCCAGAGCCACAGCAACUCAGGAUUCGAGCCGUGUCUGCGACCUACACCACAGCUCACCGCAACGUGGGAUCCUCAACCCACUGAGUGAGGCCUGGGAUCAAACCCACAACCUCAUGGCUCCUAGUCAGAUUCAUUUCCACUGCACCACUACGAGAACUCCAAGACUACCUGUCAUUUGAGACAGUUCAGCCAGCCUGGAUUCACAACCUCAUUCCACCCCUUAUUAGCUCCUAUAGCCUUAGACAAUAUUUUUGACCUCUCAUUUUUACUCUGCUGUGAAAUUGGCAUAUUUUCUCAUCCAUGAAAUUGGCACUUUUGCCUUAUGGAGAUGUGGUUUUAAAGGAGACAGUACAUAUAAAAAUUGUUCAAGGAGUUCCCAUUGUGCUCAGUGGGUUAAGGACCUGAUAUAGUCUCUGUGAGGAUGCAGAUUCCAUCCUUGUCCUCACGCAGGGGGUUAAGAAUUUGGCAUUGCCACAAGCUGCAGCGUAGGUUGCAGAUGCAGCUCAACUCCAGUGUUGCUGUGGCUGUGAUGUCGGCCUGCAGCUGCAACUUGGCCCCUGGCCUGGGAAGUUUCAUAUGCCAAAGGUAUGGCCAUAAAAAGAAAAAGAAUUGCUCAAAACAGAUGUAUGUAAAGUUCUGAAUUGUUCUGAAAACCCACAUGCUCUAUAACCAGGUCUAGGAUGUGGCCUAACCUAAUUCCUGUGUCCAGUCGCCUGGGCCAGGCUAAGGGGCUUUGCAGGACUUGUAAAAGCUCAUGUAGCUUUUAAAUCCCUGGGUUCAAGUUGUACAGGCCUUCCCCUUACAGUAAUCUUACCUUUAUUUUUAAUCUCCACCCUGACAUCCAGCCCUGGCAUAGGCUGCAUGUAAGAUUUGAUGGUUGAACAAGUAAGAGCAGGGACUACUGGGCUGCACUGCCUUUUGUGCCAGCAGCCCUAACUUACACUGUUCCUAGCUGCCCCGUAAAUUUUAACAGCACUUUUGUAGUAAUAAGACUGUACUCACAUCCUAGUAGCAUUCACAUAUCUAUUUAUCUUAUCUAUCCUCAGCUGUAAACUUCUAGCCGGCAGAAUGAAUUUGGCCUAUGUGCUGCUUUGACUUAUGUUAUGGUAUAAAAACCGGAAAAUCUCACAUGAAAAUCCUGAUUUGGGAUAACACCCACACUCCUGCACAGUAACUGUCAACACAAGUGAAAAAUCCUAAUGUUAGACUAGUCCAUGUUGUAAGCAGGGUAGAAUAAUAUAACACAUUUGUGUGUGGACAACACACCAAAAAAAACCCUAGAGUUCCCGUUGUGGCUCAGCGGAAAGGAAUCUGACUAGCACCCAUGAGGACACAGGUUCAAUCCCUGGCCUCGCUUAGUGGGUUAAGGAUCCAGCAUUGCCAUGAGCUGUGGUGUAGGUUGCAGACAUGGCUCGGAUCUGACAUUGUUGCGGCUAUGCUGGAGGCUACAGCUCCGAUUGAACCCCUAGCCUGGGAACCUCCAUACCUCUCGGAUGUGGCCCUGAAUAUAUAUAUAUAUAUAAAGCCUCCUAAUAUUAAAAAGACCUUUGCCAGCUCUGUCUUACACAAGUAAUAACAGAGGGAGUACUUUGGCCUAACACUCGAGUGUAUGUCCCCCAGCACCCAGGUAAGGGCCUCAGAUACUGUCACUAAAAAAGAGCAGGUGCAAAAGAAAAAAAUGCCUCCCUAGGGAUGUCUACAUCCCAGCCCCCUAAACCUAUGAAUACCUUACAUGGCAAAAGGAACUUUGCAGGUGUAAUUAAGGGACUUGGGGUGGGAAAGUUGUCCUCAAUUACCCAAUGGCCCCAGUGUCAUCACAAGGAUCCUUGUAAGGAGGCCAUGAGUCAGAAUUGGAGGUAAGGAGUUCCCAUCAUGGCUCACUGGAAAUGAAUCUGACUAGUAUCCAUGAGGACACAGGUUUGAUCCCUGGCCUUGCUCAGUGGGUUAAGGAUCCAGCUUUGUCAUGAGCUGUGGUGUAGAUCCAAGCCACAUCUGUGACUGAGACCACAGCUCAGAAAUGCCAGAUCCUUAUGAACCCCACUAGUACCCAUGAGGAUGCAGGUUCAAGGCCAGGGAUCCCACAACGGGAGGCCAGAUCCCACAACGGGAACUCCAAGAUAAACUGUUCUGAGAGAGGGUUCAACCUCACUUCUAGCACCUUAGUUUUUAAUUAACUUUGGGCUUCUGGUUUUGCUUUUUCUUUUUCAGCUGCACCUGCAGCAUAUGGAAGCUCCUGGGCCAGGGAUUGAAUCCAAGCCAGAGCUUAUCUAUAGCACGGCUGCAGCAACACUAGAUCCUUAACCCAUUGCUGGGGAUUGAACCCAAGCCUCCAGAGACAAGCUGGAUCAUUAACCCACUGUGCCGCAGCAGGACCUCCUGGAGUAAGACUAUAUAGCAUCCAGUAAAGGGGGAACAUGGUAGAAUCUUUAGGAAGAUGUAAGACGGAAAAAACCCAAAGUUGUAAGAAAAAAUUUAGUUAUUAGUAAAACUGUUAUAUUUGCAGUGUUUCUGGUUUGUUUUCAAAGGCAAAUCAUUUGUUUUUGGCAAUACCCAAGGUAUGCAGAAAUUCCUGGGACAGGGAUCAAAACCACACCAUGGCAGUAACAAUGCUAGAUCCUUAACCAGCUUCACUACCAGGGAAUUCCCCAAAUCACAUUUCUAAUUUAAACUGUGAACUAAUUUGGAAUCAAGAUCUAAAUGCCCAAGAAAAACUGGUUUUUAAAAUGCUGCUCAGGUUUAACCACAUUCAAAGGAAUGUUUAAAAUAUCGGACUGCUCCCUCUGGGCCCCAAGCAGUAGAGAACUGCUCCUCCAUAAAGCAGGGCUGCUGUGGUCCCUGGAAGGACCUGGGCUGUUCCCCAACUCCCAGCACACCUCCCCUCCACUUCCCAGUUGACCAGCUUCACCCACAUCAUCUGCUGCCCUCCAGAGUCUGCAGUCAGUGGCCAAACAUUAAAGGCAUUCCAGAACUGGCUCAUCCAGUGCCAUUUCAGACCUGCCUCUCAAGUGGCAUGCAAGCAACCUGGUGGCACUGAAGGAAGACUCUGAAAAGAAGUAACAGGUACCAUUUAUUGUUCUAAGUAAUAGGCCCAUUACCAACAGUGUGUAGUGUAAUCCAUCAUAGUGAAUCCAUAAGACCAGUUUUUUUCACUUUACAGAUAGCUUUGAGCUAUUUGCUGUUUAAAAUAUAAGCCAAAAACUGACCUGGAGCCAAGAUUCCAAUGUGAUUUGAGACCACAGCCCUGCUGCCUGAAGGAUGCUCCCCAGCUUCAAAACAAGCAGCCCUGCUGUUAAAGCCAGAAAAGCUGGGGAGGCCGGGGUACAGAGGUGUUAGUAGCCUUACGGGAGAAGCCAGGUUUUAGGAUUCACACAGGUGAACUCUGGGGGCCAUGACUGCAAUCAUCCUCGUCUGUUCAGGUUCAUGAUGUGGAAACUAUCACCUAAAAUAUUAGUGGGCAAAUGGCCUCAGCUUAGAGAUGAAUGUCACCUCCUGUGUUACACGCACAGUUUCAGUUAGGAGUUUCUGAGUGGCUCAGUGGGUUAAGGUCCAGCAUUGUCACUGCUGUGGCACAGGGUGAUCCCUGGCCCCAGCCCCAAACUUCCACAUGCGGAAAAAAAAACCCUACCUCCUAAGAAGUAGGUACAUCAGCCAAGCGUCAAGCACUGAGAAAGUACACAUCUCUGUGUCCUGACUCAGUGUUACAGGUCCCCAAACACACCCACGUUAAGUGGAGCCACACUGGGGUAAUCCUGUCCCAGUGACUACCAUGACUGGGUGUGCAGAGGGCGGGCUAGGUGACCAGUAGGGAUAUUUAAGCCGAACCUGUGGGGAGUGGGUGUUACUAGGGGAAAGAAAAGCCAGGAGGAGGAUUAGAAGUGCAGGUGUCCUCAGGUAUAGAAGUUCAUCUCAGUGAAAUGGGCAAAUUCUUACUGAGAAGUCCUUGAAUUACCUCUGUGCCAUCAAAUUGUUUGUGCUAAGCUUGGUCACUUAGCAGUGUUCUCUGGGGGCAAUGACAAGCCAGGUUCCAGGCCAUGGUUCGUGGUUGCUACUGCAGAGUAUAAUGCAAUGAUGAAAAUGAGGCACCAUGGACUAGAAUGUACCACUCUACUCAGUGCUCCCACCUGGUCUCCUCAGGCCCAUCUAGGACUGCAUGUUUUCUACAAGAGCAGAAAGGAAGGGUGAAAAAUACCAAGUUUGUGAUGCUGAAGACAGCAUCACAACUACCCUUGCCAUCAUCUAUGUAUCAGCUACCUCAGAGGACAGGUUCGACACAGCUGGCUAUCAGAAUCUUUAUGAAAAGAUGACAAAUCAGUCAAGUUCCUUGACAAGGUUGGUAGUGGAGCUGAAAACAGAUGUGAAGCAGUUAUGUUUAAUGAAUGCUCUUUCAAUUCUAAGGCAAGCAAAAAGGAUAAUUACAUGUACGAAAAACACUCUAAUUUGGAGCAUAAGCUCCAAAAUACUAAGUUGUUCUCAGAUUCCAGCCGCACCACUGGGGCUAAGAACUCGGUUACUCAUCCCAGUAGUUUUCAAUCCAUGGCACCUAGAGUUACCUGGAAGCUUAUUAAACACUGAUGCUCAGGACCUACCUGACAAUUACAAGCCAAAUGUCUGCAUCUCAACACCUACUCCCUAAGACCAUUGUUAGGUUUUACACUUUUUAACUGCCUCAGCAAAUCAGUAGCCCCGAAUACUUCAGUUUACAUAGAAAUCCAGAGUCCAGUACAAAAUAUGUUCAAAACCUCUUCGAGGAGUUCCUGUGUGGCUCGGCAGUAUGAACCCAACUAGUACCCAUGAGGAUACAGGUUCAAUCCCUCGCCUCGUUUGGUGGGCUAAGGAUCUGACGUUGCCAUGAGCUGUGGUCUAGGCCAGCAACUGCAGCUCCAAUUUGUCCCCUAGCCUAGGAACUUCUAUAUGCCACAGGUGUGGCUGUAAAAAGCAAAACAAACAACAAACCCUGAAAACAGGAUGACCUUAGACUUCUAGUCUCCAGAAUUGAGGAAUAAAUUUCU